AGUGAACGCUGGCGGUAGGCCUAACACAUGCAAGUCGAACGGCAGCACAGUAAGAGCUUGCUCUUACGGGUGGCGAGUGGCGGACGGGUGAGGAAUACAUCGGAAUCUACUUUUUCGUGGGGGAUAACGUAGGGAAACUUACGCUAAUACCGCAUACGACCUACUGGUGAAAGCAGGGGAUCUUCGGACCUUGCGCGAUUGAAUGAGCCGAUGUCGGAUUAGCUAGUUGGCGGGGUAAAGGCCCACCAAGGCGACGAUCCGUAGCUGGUAUGAGAGGAUGAUCAGCCACACUGGAACUGAGACACGGUCCAGACUCCUACGGGAGGCAGCAGUGGGGAAUAUUGGACAAUGGGCGAAAGCCUGAUCCAGCCAUACCGCGUGGGUGAAGAAGGCCUUCGGGUUGUAAAGCCCUUUUGUUGGGAAAGAAAAGCAGCAGGUUAAUACCCCGCUGUUCUGACGGUACCCAAAGAAUAAGCACCGGCUAACUUCGUG
This 492-nucleotide ribosomal RNA is filed under the name uncultured bacterium. RNAcentral describes it as "partial 16S ribosomal RNA". It matches the Rfam family "Bacterial small subunit ribosomal RNA", at positions 29 to 507 of the family's 1533-position model. The record is from RNAcentral.